AGCGAACGCUGGCGGCAGGCCUAACACAUGCAAGUCGAACGGAUCCUUCGGGAUUAGUGGCGGACGGGUGAGUAACGCGUGGGAACAUACCUUUUGGUUCGGAACAACACAGGGAAACUUGUGCUAAUACCGGAUAAGCCCUUACGGGGAAAGAUUUAUCGCCGAAAGAUUGGCCCGCGUCUGAUUAGCUAGUUGGUGAGGUAACGGCUCACCAAGGCGACGAUCAGUAGCUGGUCUGAGAGGANGAUCAGCCACAUUGGGACUGAGACACGGCCCAAACUCCUACGGGAGGCAGCAGUGGGGAAUAUUGGACAAUGGGCGCAAGCCUGAUCCAGCCAUGCCGCGUGAGUGAUGAAGGCCCUAGGGUUGUAAAGCUCUUUUGUGCGGGAAGAUAAUGACGGUACCGCAAGAAUAAGCCCCGGCUAACUUCGUGCCAGCCGCCGCAGUAAG
This 450-nucleotide ribosomal RNA is filed under the name uncultured bacterium. RNAcentral's name for it is "bacterial SSU rRNA". It matches the Rfam family "Bacterial small subunit ribosomal RNA", at positions 29 to 524 of the family's 1533-position model. The record is from RNAcentral.